Molecule: long non-coding RNA, 670 nt
Filed under: Bos taurus (domestic cattle)
Lineage: Eukaryota; Metazoa; Chordata; Mammalia; Artiodactyla; Bovidae
Description: long non-coding RNA NONBTAT026426
Source: RNAcentral
AAAUAUAAAUCAAUUAUAUGUUUAAAAGAGUUUUAAUUUUAAACUUAUGCCUAUAGGUAAAACUAAUUAGAAAUUCCAGCUUAUUGAAAAUGAAGAGAGUUGUCCAUGUGGUUUAAAUAAUUCAACUGGAAGAAGAAAUCUUAGAUUUUUCAAAGAAAGAGAGAGAUAAAAUUCAAGAUUAAGAAUUCACAAUACGAAUGCCAGUAUAAAUUACACAUCUAAAAAAUCAAAGAAAAAAUUUUGAAUUUCAGAAGACGUCAUAUAUUUGACAGCUCUCAGUAUCUCUGUCAGUUUCUGCUUUGUUUUCUUAGUGAAACCAGGGCACACAGAUAACCUUUCUUAAGGCAGGUUAAUCUAUAAAUCUAGUGAGUAUUUGGGGUUUUCUGGAAGUUUGGUGACUCCAAAAGAAAAAUAGUUUCACCUGAAAAGAGUGUCUAUAUCCUUAACCUUCUUGGCAAAAGAAAGAUUACUAUGUGUCUACCUGCAUCAGUGGUAUUUUAAUGUUUUCAUUCUCUCUAUAAGUUUGGAGGCUAUGAAAAGUUAACUCUGUAUUAGCCUUAAACAUUCUGAGCUGGAUUUGAAUCACUUAAGAUUUAUUUUUUUUCUCCUUUUUUUUUUAACUACUUAGGAAGUCGAUAUGUCUUUUUCCCAAACACUUGAACACUCAGAG